Long non-coding RNA from Anopheles stephensi (Asian malaria mosquito), 5414 nucleotides. RefSeq lists it as uncharacterized. NCBI's taxonomy places the organism in Eukaryota, Metazoa, Arthropoda, Insecta, Diptera, Culicidae. The transcript is spliced from 3 exons. The record is from RefSeq and is a predicted model, not a curated record.
AAAGCCAGCAUGCGAACAUUCCAGCAUGACAAUUCAAUCUCGUUUACUGUUGAUAAGCCUGAUAACUUUUACACACCGAUGACCGUUGUAUGUCAUUCAAAUGCUACCAACACCAACGGACGGACGGAUGAUUGUUUACCCAAAGGUUUUGCACGCAGACAAUCAGUCGGAGCUCCGAUUGUGAAUGUCGCAGCAGAUGCUAAAAUCGUGAUUUACGCUUUCCGCCAUACCCGGGCAUGGCACCCGCAGCCGCAAGGCAUUUAAUCGCUUUGCGCCGGACUGCUCCGAAACCAAAACCCCGACCGAUUGAGCAAUUAUUGGCGCAACCGGAUUCCGGCACCGGAACUGAAACCUCAGUACGCGAUUGCGUUUCAGAGUAGCGACGGGAGUUCCGUUUUCUCGCCAGCGUUCUCCGAGAUGCUGCACAGCUUGUUCAAACCCCGCAAGGCGCGUUGCGCUGCGUACCCUUGGCACAACAAGACGAGUGAGGAACGGCAAGGGCUAGGAGCCGCAAGAUUUGAAUAAACACAAUCCACCGGCAGAGCGCGCAGAUUCGUAGACCUCCCAACUUUGCCGCGAAUCAGGCGCUGCAAUAUGCGUACAUUUCCCCCCUCCCGUCAAUCCAUCCAAAUGCAAAAUAGCCGCAGGAAUAGGAUUUAACCAACACCACCGUACCACAAACACACACACACACACGGUCUAAUCCAUUCGCAACUUGCACAAACGCCACGGGCGAUGGAAUGAAAAAAAAGAUUUUCUAAAGCUCUGGUCCCAUUUCUUCGUGCAAUGGUGCGUAUGCGUAAAGACUGGGCGAGGACGGCAACUGCCACGAAGCGGGAUUUUGCUCACACGUAGCUCUUGGAGCACUCAGAUCAUUGCAAAGGAAUCGUGUCGCUGGCAGGACUUUUAACUACGGUAAUUCUCCACCUCAUCCAUAUUCCCCAUGCGUCUUGAGGAGGUAAUUCAUCAGCUUGCCAAGCACAAGGAAGAUAGAUGUUCUGUGUGUGUGUGCACUUUUUUGCCAACCUACCAGCAGCCAGUGUGGUCGGUUGCGCGCGAAAAUCUCGACUGUUGAAGUCAAGAGGGACGCCUUUGUCAGGACUUCUUCUCCGGCAUCGGUGUGUGAUUUCUUUGCGUUUUGUUCUAUUUUGCAAUGUGUGUUUGGAGGCUCAUGGUUGGUCUGUAGUCUGUCCCUAUCCCUUAACCUUGAAUUUUUCCUUUUUUUGCGCUCCAUUAUUACAACAACAGUCGGGGCCACCGAGUUGCAGAGUGUCAGGUAAUCUUUGAAUGCAUCGUUUUUACUUGUGCUACUUCAGCUAUUGAAGAUAUUUAGAAUAAAUUUGGGAUGUAGUUAGGAAUAAAUUACAGCACAACACGAUCGAAGUGUAACGAUAAUGACCAGGCAUUAUCCAUUGAUUUCCACACUUGACAAAACAUCAUUUUUAGAAAGACAGUUAUUCUCCUGUUUUCUUUUGAUAAUUAUAAUAUCUCAACAGAAAUAUGUAAUACAGAAGACCAGAACACCUUUGCUUUAUACAUGUACACCGACCCGACCGUCUUAUACAUACCCCCCCGAAUGUAAGAACGUAUAUAAACCGAGAAAUUUCACAGCUGUGCUGAGAAGAAGGAAAACAAACUAACGCAACUUGCCCGGAGGAGGAACGUACACACACACACACACACGAAACGUCACUAGCAGGCUAAGGCGGCCCGAGGAGAGGCAGAACGCAGACGAUGGAUGAUGAAUGAGUAAAAGUGAAAGAAAAUACAAUGAAAGGUAAAUUGCGUUUGUUUGUCUGGUGAUUUUGAUCCAAUUUCAUCCCUUUUUGGGAUAGAAGACAUCCGGCGGAACUCGGUCGGCCAGACGUUCGCCAAUCCCCUGUAACGAACCGUAUUCAGCAACGAUGUGUAAGACAGAGGAGGACUCGAUGUGUGUUUGCACCUUGAGGAAGGCAAGUAGUCGAACACCUUUUACCAAUGCUUUUCAUAGGUUUGGCGAGAUUCUUGUACUGAACAUAUGAUCAUGCACAACUCUAACAAAGAAGGAGGAUCAAGGAGAAAUUUACAGACAGACUGUUAUCAGGAAUAUAUUUCUCAAACACCAUUUGUUUUGUAAAAAUGAGGUUGAAACGCUAGGAAAUUAUAACUAUCAAUUUCGAUGGUGGGAUGGUAACUGUGAUUACAAAUGCUAUGUAGGUCCUUGUUACAACUUUCCCAGCCAUGAUCUGUUUCUACUUCUUAAACUAAUUUUUAAAGCUCAAUUCCAGGGAGUUUCUGCAGCUCUACAGCUAUCCCCAUACAAACGAGAAGCGAGAGCGCGAUAUCUUGGCUACCUUACUAUAUACCGCCAAAACAUGCCCUUACAAGACCGGAGAAGACAGCGUACUACCAGCUGCAAAAAUUGCGGCAGAAAAGCAAAAUUGCACACGCUGAUGAAUGAAAAGCGACCUUUCAAAUAUCCGGUUCUGUUGCGUGAUGCUCACACAAUACCCGAUGUGCUAUGCGGCGGCCAAGAAGGUCCAAGAAAAAAAGGGCACAGUCUUACCGAGGCCAGCGAAAUAAAGAAAAAAAAGUGCAAGUCUGCCAAAAUGAUCACACAAUGAAGCCCAACCAUGCGUAGAAAACGGAACAGCGCAUAAGGCAGGAUCGGUCCGUGAAGAUGUACUUCACCCCUCGAGAAUCGGGGUACAACCUGAAUCGAAUGUUGCUACACGCCAUUCCGUCCGUACGGCUUGGGAUGUAAAACUUACCAUCACCGAAUGCCGGCAGCAGCAGCAGCAGCAUCCAGCUGGUCCAGGCCAGCUAGAGCCAGGUUAAAAUCUUUAAGCCUUCCUAUAUCCUUCGGCGAGAAAGGAGAUCGUGCCGGCAUACGACGCACAACCCCAGGGGCAAGUAAACGCGGGCAGCGCGCCAACAUCGCAUCGCUUGACUGGAAGAAGUGAACGGCUGAAGGAGUACACGGAGUUUUGCCGUCCGUGUACGCGUCGGGCUCGACUUGAGCUAGCAAGUCUGCAAAUGAAAUAAAUAUUUAAAACGCAUUCUAUACUCAUUUCGCCGUGCCAACAGCUAAUCGUACCAAUGUUAAACCAAUUACGCUUAACAUUCGUUUGUGUCGCGUAACUCAAAGCUGGUUUUAAAAUUAACCACAUAAAAAUGGACUGCCCUGUCGUCUAAAUUAUGAGCUGAUUGAAACGCCUCUAAUAGUACCAAUAUGCAUGCAGUGUUCAAACGUACCUGGGUAAUCUCUCAUGGUAGUUCCACCAUCAUGUUCCAAACCUCCCGUUGCUGCCACACACCCAUAUUUAUUCCAUAAGCCAAAACUGACUGCAAAUCACAAUGAUUAACUCUUUAAUGCUACUCUUGUUCCGUUUACACAUCAAUCAGGGUGUUGCAGAUUGUGUAUCAUCGAAGGUAGGGUCCCUUAGUCAUUGCGUGUUUCAUACACGCCCCUGCUGGUCACCCUAACGCAUCGAAAAGCUGGUUCAUGCUGAACCCGUACGGAAGUGUGCCAAUAUUUAUGCGCUCCUCGCACUGGCGAAUAUUAUUUGUAUUUCGGUGGUUUUGAAUGCACCGUCUGGGAAAGAGAAUUUGUGUUUUUUUUUUACCUUACUUUUGCAACCAUGAUCAACUCGAAGUGUGUGGGUAACUGAGAGAUCGUUUCAUCGGCACCUAACACACAGGCAAAGGGUUACACCCUCCUCUUUGGAUGAAGCCAAACACUUCGACAUUCAUACUGUGUUCGAAAAUAUGUUAAAAGGGAUGGAUACAUGAUCAGUUUUUGACAUGGAUUGGUGCCUUUGACUUGUCAUCAACGUUCAACGAGUCCUGCCUUUCUGCGGGACGCAUAGGAACACUGAGGCGCAACGUAGUAUAAUGAACCCUCGUUGACAUCAGCAGCACCAACUGCGUCAUGUAAAGGAACACCCGACACACUGAUUGUCUUUUCCGAAAUUCCGGCCACAUUUAUUUGAGACCAAUGUGCCAAUGCUUGCGAUGGCCUAUGACUGCGCACAAUUGUGCUUGUCUACUGUACAUACAUACGGUACCCUCCCAGAAGCAAACAGGAACGGUUUCACCCAUCAAAUCUCGAUGGGUCCCUGCGAGGAACAAAGCAACGGAGCAAUAGAUAGUCCACCGCGCUUAAUCCUCCUAGGUUUGAGCUGGACACAGCUGAAUUCUGUCGGCGUCAAGAUUUCGGUCCGGCCAGCACUGCCGUCCCAGCAGUGAAUGAACACAGUUGGUGAGACUAAAUCCGUAAGGUAAGACAACAAUCCUGUUGUUCGCAGAGACUUGAAUCGAAAAAAGAUCACAACUAAUGACACCCUACAACGGAAGAAGUGUUGAAGCGUAUCCUAUUCCUGCACACCGAACCGGAAUAUGCCUUCGCUUUGUGAGCAUGGUUGUUUAACGGUUUUUUUGUUGUGCAUCAACAGGUUUAGAAACACAAGCAAACUAAAAGCUCGCCCAUGAAGCAUUCAAUACCAAGCGGAUAGACAAGUUCAUUAAUUAUCAUUGAAUUAUCAAUUCGAUGCUAGACCGUACAGAUUUGGUUAAGGUCUCCCUUUCGCCUAUUUUAACAGGUAUUUAAGAGCAACAAGUACCCUUCUCCUCCCUAAAUGCGAAAGGAAACAAAUGCUACAAAUAGCUUUUCAUUAGCAUACAAACUAUCAAUCGCUUCGCUGUGUUCGCGUUGCUUUGCGAAUUGCGAUCGGUCGAUAGUGGGUUUUGCGGAACCCUUUGCCGAACCUACGCCCGAGCGCAACGGAAACAGAUUUCAAGAAUUGCAUUCGCGAAUGUUACCACACAAUUCAAUUGAUGAAAUACUCAGAACAAUUCGACGUGCAAAUACAAUGGAAACAGUUUGCCCCAAUUGCACUCACACAAUGCCUGGUGUUCCUUACCGUCCGUCCGUCAACCCCCGUGCGAUUUAUUCGCUGGCACGUUCUCAAAUCCUACGUUAACGAGUUUAAUCUGUAAAUUUAUAGCACAUCGUUAGGCCGAGCAUGGUGGUGCCAGCGUUGGCAGGAAGCAUUAGAAUAAUGCCUAACAAUUCCUACAUGAUGGUCAUUUGGUAAAUUCAAUUUGUAUAGAUUUUAGGCUUGGAUGGCAACAGACACAGCAGGAUAAAAUUUUUUCAAGGAAAGGAAGCCCUAAACUUUCGCUAAGCUAACCAUUCACCGGUCCGGGCCGAAUACCUCACUAGUUGUAGGCUCAAAUCUAAUGUUUUUUAUAAUCUACUUUUGGAGCAUACAUAUGAAGGGAGCGAUACGGUUUUACGAUUAUUUAUUGCUGCUUAUUUCCCUGCCGUUCGGGAUAUGAUUUUAUAUAUCUUGAAUGUUUGCAAAACUGGCAAAUGAUCUAUGAGACUCUAAGUUUUAUAAAUAAUUUGAUAAGUAAUUUAUAAAACAGGAAGA